This 301-nucleotide ribosomal RNA is filed under the name uncultured bacterium. RNAcentral's name for it is "partial 16S ribosomal RNA". It matches the Rfam family "Bacterial small subunit ribosomal RNA", at positions 509 to 809 of the family's 1533-position model. The record is from RNAcentral.
CAGCCGCCGCGGGAAUACAGAGGAUGCAAGCGUUGUCCGGAAUUAUAGGGCGUAAAGGGCUCGCAGGCGGUUUCUUAAGUCUGAUGUGAAAGUCCCCGGCCCAACCGGGGAGGGUCAUUGGAAACUGGGAAACUUGAGUGCAGAAGAGGAGAGUGGAAUUCCACGUGUAGCGGUGAAAUGCGUAGAGAUGUGGAGGAACACCAGUGGCGAAGGCGACUCUCUGGUCUGUAACUGACGCUGAGGAGCGAAAGCGUGGGGAGUGAACAGGAUUAGAUACCCCAGUAGUCCCUGUCUCUUAUAU